RNAcentral lists this transfer RNA (82 nucleotides) under Curtobacterium sp. VKM Ac-2884. Its description in RNAcentral is "tRNA-Ser". RNAcentral also lists the same sequence under 2 other names. The record is from RNAcentral. Lineage: Bacteria; Bacillati; Actinomycetota; Actinomycetes; Micrococcales; Microbacteriaceae.
GCCGUGGUCGAGGCGCAGGACGUCCGCCUGCUGCGCGGUGUGCCGUGCGCGGUCGUCCGGUUCGAGUCCGACGACGACGCCA